CCGUGUCGUGCUGGAUGAGAACCUGCGUUCAGGUUCGAGCCGAGCGAAGCGAGACGACAACGCACAGCGUUGCCCGCAGGGCGAGGCCCAAGGCCGAGUCAAUCCUGCACGACCCACCA
RNAcentral lists this small RNA (119 nucleotides) under Serratia liquefaciens. Its description in RNAcentral is "RtT sRNA". It matches the Rfam family "RtT RNA". Rfam says of the family: This family represents a bacterial cis-regulatory element known as RtT RNA. The record is from RNAcentral. Lineage: Bacteria; Pseudomonadati; Pseudomonadota; Gammaproteobacteria; Enterobacterales; Yersiniaceae.